GAAGAGGCAAGAUUGGUUGCUGAUGCCUAUCUGCACUCUCCAAGACCCUAUUCAGAUACAUUAGCAGCUUUGAAUGACAAGUUUGGCCAGCCACAUCAAUUAGCCCUGAAGCGAAUUGCCACUGUGAUGGAGUCUCCAGAUGUAAGACGUGGUGACACUGCUGCAUUUGAGAGGUUUGCACUUCAGAUCCAGUCACUUGUAGGCUUGCUUAGCACCCUUGGCUCUGAGGGACAAGUGGAGUUACGGUGUGGUUCACAUGUUGCCCGCCUACUGAGCAAGCUACCACCGGAGCAGAGAGCAGACUUCCGUCGCUACAUGUUUCCUCAAGCUGGGACCAGUUACACUCUGAAGGACCUGGCUGACUGGCUAAGGCAUGAGGCCUGGUGUCAGGAUUUUGAUGGUCAACUACCUACGAGGAUGGGAAGGGAGAAACUGGGACCCAAGGUCGAGACACGCCCAUGGAAGCGAUCUGUUGCUGUUUUGCAUGGAUCCAAGGAUGGAACCUCAGUAGAGGAGGUUCAAAGGGCUAUCUUAAGAAAGGGCAAGAGCCAACCUUACUGCCCAUUCUGUGACAAUUCAGAGCACUAUCUUAGUCAGUGUACUGCUAUCUCCAAGCUCACCACAGAGCAAGUGACAAAUUGGAUAAAGGCCAACAAGAGAUGUUGGCGAUGUGCCCGAUCCCACCAUGCAGCACAGUGUAAUCUCAAGAAACCCUGUAGUCUAUGCAAUAGGAGGCAUCUGCAGAUUCUACAUGAGGUAAAUGACCGAUACACUGAAGGCUCGGCAAAGUCCACAAAUAAAGAGAGAUGUGCUGCGAGCCCAGCUACUGAGGUGCUCUACUUAGAUAGACCCACUGAAGGACAGCGAGUCUUGUUGAAGGUUGUGCGUGUUCUUCUCCAUCAUGGUGAUAAGAUCAUUGACACCUUCGCAGUUUUGGAUGAUGGGUCUGAGAGAACAAUGUUAUUACCUUCUGCGGCUCAGAAACUAGGUCUAAAAGGCACACCGGAGGAGCUACCUUUACGUACCAUCAGACAAGAUGUGCAAAAUCUCCAUGGGUUUUCGGUCUCCUUCUCUGUCUCCUCCCCUGCAUCUCCAAAGAUCAAACAUCCGAUUUCCAGAGCUUUCACAGCAACUCGCAUUGACCUAGCAGACCACACCUACCCCAUGAAUCUACUUAAGAGGAAGUAUAGCCAUUUGGUUGGUCUCCCCAUACCUUCUUUCAAGAGG
RNAcentral lists this long non-coding RNA (1227 nucleotides) under Astyanax mexicanus (Mexican tetra). Its description in RNAcentral is "lncRNA (ENSAMXG00005002912.1)". Lineage: Eukaryota; Metazoa; Chordata; Actinopteri; Characiformes; Acestrorhamphidae. The record is from RNAcentral.